AAAAUGUACCGGGGCUAAACAUAUUACCGAAGCUGUGGAUUGUCCUUUGGACAAUGGUAGGAGAGCGUUCUAAGGGCGUUGAAGCAUGAUCGUAAGGACAUGUGGAGCGCUUAGAAGUGAGAAUGCCGGUGUGAGUAGCGAAAGACGGGUGAGAAUCCCGUCCACCGAUUGACUAAGGUUUCCAGAGGAAGGCUCGUCCGCUCUGGGUUAGUCGGGUCCUAAGCUGAGGCCGACAGGCGUAGGCGAUGGAUAACAGGUUGAUAUUCCUGUACCACCUAUAAUCGUUUUAAUCGAUGGGGGGACGCAGUAGGAUAGGCGAAGCGUGCGAUUGGAUUGCACGUCUAAGCAGUAAGGCUGAGUAUUAGGCAAAUCCGGUACUCAUUAAGGCUGAGCUGUGAUGGGGAGAAGACAUUGUGUCUUCGAG
Molecule: ribosomal RNA, 424 nt
Filed under: Escherichia coli
Lineage: Bacteria; Pseudomonadati; Pseudomonadota; Gammaproteobacteria; Enterobacterales; Enterobacteriaceae
Description: partial 23S ribosomal RNA
Rfam family: Bacterial large subunit ribosomal RNA
Source: RNAcentral